AUCCAGCCGAUGAGUCCCGAAUAGGGCGGAACUCGAGUCCUGAAU
This is a non-coding RNA of Schistosoma curassoni, 45 nucleotides long. NCBI's taxonomy places the organism in Eukaryota, Metazoa, Platyhelminthes, Trematoda, Strigeidida, Schistosomatidae. The record is from Rfam.